ACCACCAGUGCCAGUCUCUGCGGGCCACCACGCGCUCCACGCCCCCUACACACGCGAUCGCCACGCCGUGUAACUGGACUCCUCCACGCCGUGUACGCAACUUUUCCACGCCCUGAACUUGACCCUCUUCACGCCGUGUUAACUCGAUUCCUCUACGCCGUGUACGCGACUUUUCCCCUCUUUACUCAACUCUUCCACUCAGUGUACACGCCUCCUCUAUGUCUUGUACUCUGCACGCCAUGUAACACACCAGGUGGAUGUAAAUAAUGACAGGUACUUCAAAAACCUAACUAAACCAUCAACAAUGUAAGACUCAACAUUGUCUCACACUGGAAAACUAACAUCACAGUCCGUCUUCUACAGCCCGUGUGACACCUGGCCCACUAGACGUUCACCAGAGCAACGUCUAAUAUCUCCAUCUGUUUAACGAGGGAAAUAAUUUAGACUUUAUGAGGUAUCACCGAGUCUUAUUGAUGUGAUUCUUGGCGUGCGUGUGUCUCUUACUCUUGACAGACGACUGGGUGUGGGAAAAGUACAAGUAUCUGUCUCAGAGUACUUUUUAUCCGCUUUAUAAGUGUACUUAAUGUUAGUUCUUACUUAUAUACUCAGCAAGAACCUAGAGCUUUGGCUGUUGGUUUUAGCUUCGAGGGAAAACUGUAAUAUGUAGACAUUUAUAUGGAUGACAAACCUGUUGUGUUCACUGUGUGAAGGAGGUGUUGACCUUUGACUCGCUAUAGUGAUGGUAGGGUUAACUUUCACUAAUGAUGGUGACCUUGCAGUGACCCGCGCUAAUGGUGAUGGCUGGUUUAGCUCUAAUAAUGAUAAACUUUGGCACACGCUAGAGAUGAUGGCGAUCGAAUGACCUCUGACCUCAAAACGACACUACAGGACCAUAUUUAAAGUCAGUUUUUGAUUGGCCAAUACGCAGUUGAUCCCCGUGACGGUAGUUUUGGUAACGCACUUCACACGUGGCUUGACCGUCAACCAGAGUCUCGUUCCUGGUGUCUUGAGGAGGAGAAAAUUAUGAGUUUAUGAACGUGGUUUUGAACAACUUUGCCACGCGAUUUAGUUACGAUGGUAUAUCAACAACAACUAAUGGUGGAGGUGUGAUGUAAGAGUGAGGGCUACCCGUUGGUGCAGUGUUGGUGUGGUCAGUCAGCUGGCGACACUCAUCAGUAGUGGAGGGAAGGGCGUCUCUCUCUCUCAGAUCAAGGGUACUGAGAGUGGGACAACCCCGCGUCUCCACAUCCUCCCAGCUGCCGUACCAUAGGCUAGCUCCUCCUAUCAACAGUAUCUGUCAGCGUUAUUAGGAAAGUUUGUGCUGAGCUUGUUGAUUCAGUCUUGAGUUUGUGAUUCACAGCCACUGACUUACAAGGAAAACUAUAAACAUCUAAGAUAAGUAAGAAUAUUGAUGAUGUGAUUAUUGAAGUGUGUUGUUCUAACUCUGGACACAGAGGCAGUACUGUCUCCAUCUAUGUGCGACAGUGUCAAGGGCGACAGUGUCAAGUGGUAGUAAGUAGUAGACAAGUUAGAAAGUAGUGUCACAUAACUAGUUGAAGGACGCCUGUCUCCCCUCUCACAAGAAACCAUUUUAACCCGCAGGACAGCACGCGAGGCACAGAUAAAAAUCUACAGUGUGGAGUGCGGCAACCUCAGUUUCAAGUGCGAGAGUCAUAAGUGCGACAGCGUUCAGCGUGAAAGGAUUCAGUACAAGACAGUAGUAUCUGUGUCGCAGGACAGGUGACGGGAAAAACCCGUGUCCUUGUCGCCUUAUCUACCCGGCGCCACACAGGUAUAAGGUGAGGUGGCUUGGCUGAGGACAAGACUCGUUAAGUGCGAGAGUUACCUGUCGUGACGUCAUCGAUCUGAUCUGUACAACACAGGUAAGUGAGGGAAAUACUGUCACCUUAAUUAGCGAGAUAUAUUAUGCACGUUGGAUAAAAUGUUGGACAAAUGUUGGAGAAAUUGUUGGACAAGCUGUUGGGAAAAUACUUUAUAUACCCUAUUUGCGUCGAUACACCAAGACUAAUAACAGAGAAAGAAGGACGUGUUCAGAGACUCGAGUCCAAAUCAGUUUCGGAUUCUAAAUUCACAGGAAAAAACUAACUUAAGUUUACUAAUGUCUUAUUCAUUCACAAAUUCUGAGUCUCACUUCCUCUCAAAAAUCAGAUGUAAACAAACCGCCACCAUUACAGCAUUCAAGAGAAACGAACUUAAAACGUAUUUUACCUUAAUAGCAUGACAAAGUUCACUGUAAAUACGUAUAUAAACAGUAUAAUUACACAGAGAAUUGAGUAACAAGUUUUAAAAGAUGGUUUAGACAACGUAUUCAAGUAGACAGAGGGAGAGAGAAUGUUUUUAGUGCAAGGGAACAGUUACAGAAGAGAAUCUGUCCAACUCGGUGACGCGCCUAAAAAAAAUGUCUUCAGAUUACCGUAAUAUAUUUCUCCUUGCCAGUGUUGGAGCGUUAAUCGGUGUUUUAUUAGGCCUAGAGUGGGCUGUUUCUCUUGGGGUGUUGUGACUAGUGUUGAAGCGUUAACCGGUGUUGUUUAGGGUUUGUGUUGUGAGCAAUGGUGGAUGGGGUGUAGAUGCUUUAGGGGAAGGAAGGAAGGAGGGAAGAAAGGAAAAGGGAAAG
Molecule: long non-coding RNA, 2635 nt
Filed under: Homarus americanus (American lobster)
Lineage: Eukaryota; Metazoa; Arthropoda; Malacostraca; Decapoda; Nephropidae
Description: uncharacterized LOC121870129
Source: RNAcentral